Molecule: ribosomal RNA, 401 nt
Filed under: uncultured bacterium
Lineage: Bacteria
Description: bacterial SSU rRNA
Rfam family: Bacterial small subunit ribosomal RNA
Source: RNAcentral
GACGAACGCUGGCGGCGUGCUUAACACAUGCAAGUCGAGCGGUAAGGCCCUUUCGGGGGUACGACGAGCGGCGAACGGGUAGAGUAACACGUGGGUGGACCUCGCCCUCCAGCUCUGGGAGUAAGCCCGGGAAACCGUAGGGUCGUAAUACCGGAUAUGACUCCAUGACGCAUGUUGUGGGGUGGAAAGACCUUGUGCGGCUGAGGAUGGGCCCGCGGCCUAUCAGCUUGUUGGUGGGGUGAUGGCCUACCAAGGCGACGACGGGUAGCCGGCCUGAGAGGGCGACCGGCCACACUGGGACUGAGACACGGCCCAGACUCCUACGGGAGGCAGCAGUGGGGAAUCUUGCGCAAUGGGCGAAAGCCUGACGCAGCGACGCCGCGUGAGGGAUGACGGCCUGU